RNAcentral lists this non-coding RNA (251 nucleotides) under Faecalimonas nexilis. RNAcentral's name for it is "Clostridium nexile T-box sequence". It matches the Rfam family "T-box leader". From Rfam's summary of the family: Uncharged tRNA acts as the effector for transcription antitermination of genes in the T-box leader family. T-boxes are found upstream of many aminoacyl-tRNA synthetase genes and some amino acid biosynthetic genes usually in Gram-positive bacteria. The anticodon of a specific tRNA base pairs to a specifier sequence within the T-box motif, and the NCCA acceptor tail of the tRNA base pairs to a conserved bulge in the T-box antiterminator hairpin. The record is from RNAcentral. Lineage: Bacteria; Bacillati; Bacillota; Clostridia; Lachnospirales; Lachnospiraceae.
GGAAACGCAAUGAUGGAAAGAGUAGAUAUUUCAGACAUUUACAGAGAAGUCUCAUGAAGCUGAGAAGAGACGAUGAAAGAGAUAUCGAAGAUGGCUCCUGAGCGGUGUGCCAAGCUGAAAGAUUUUAGUGAAGCACAAAGGGAUCGCCCUUUACAGCGACAGAGUAUGGUGUAUGAGCAUACUUGAUAAGGUUUAUACUGUGAAGUAUAAGCGAAGAGAAGUGGUAACACGGUAUCAGACCCGUCUUCUUA